AUACUUACCUGGUGUUGGGCUCUUGAUCAUUUAGGUCGGGGCUCCGUGCCGAGGCUUACCAUUGCACUGCGGCUGGCUGAAGCGCGACACUACCCCAAACCGGGGUAGAUGGGACAUGUAAUUUUUGGUAGUGCAUGGGGCUCGGCGUGCGCGCCAGCCCCUC
RNAcentral lists this small nuclear RNA (163 nucleotides) under Dermacentor silvarum. Its description in RNAcentral is "U1 spliceosomal RNA". It matches the Rfam family "U1 spliceosomal RNA". From Rfam's summary of the family: U1 is a small nuclear RNA (snRNA) component of the spliceosome (involved in pre-mRNA splicing). Lineage: Eukaryota; Metazoa; Arthropoda; Arachnida; Ixodida; Ixodidae. The record is from RNAcentral.